Molecule: long non-coding RNA, 339 nt
Organism: Monopterus albus (swamp eel)
Lineage: Eukaryota; Metazoa; Chordata; Actinopteri; Synbranchiformes; Synbranchidae
Exons: 3
Source: RefSeq, a predicted model, not a curated record
AACAGCAUGAUAGUGAAUGUCAGACACAAUAGUUGUCCGUGUGAGAGACUUGGAUUGAAAUGGAAGAGAGUUUGCUUGAAAAGGAAAUAAAUUAGAAUUCUCAGUUCCAGAUUAUCUUAUCUUUGUACAGGAGGGAUUUGGCCACCUUUCUAAUCAUGAGGAGGACAUGAUGGACAGGUGUGCUCACAGGUGACAGUGGAGGCUGCCCCAGAGUAGUGCUGGCCAACAGGUCCAGGAAGCAGCACCAGCUGUCUCCUCUCCAGAAAAUGAAUAUUGUGUUCCUGGUCUUUGCUUUUGUGGCUGUGAUCGGUGCAGCACCAGUACCAGACAGCGAUGCUU